GGCUUAACUGUGAGCGUGCGGGCGAUACGGGCAGACUUGAGUACUGCAGGGGAGACUGGAAUUCCUGGUGUAGCGGUGGAAUGCGCAGAUAUCAGGAGGAACACCGGUGGCGAAGGCGGGUCUCUGGGCAGUAACUGACGCUGAGGAGCGAAAGCGUGGGGAGCGAACAGGAUUAGAUACCCUGGUAGUCCACGCCGUACACGGUGGGUACUAGGUGUGGGUUUCCUUCCUUGGGAUCCGUGCCGUAGCUAACGCAUUAAGUACCCCGCCUGGGGAGUACGGCCGCAAAGGCUAAAACUCAAAGAAAUUGACGGGGGCCCGCACAAGCGGCGGAGCAUGUGGAUUAAUUCGAUGCAACGCGAAGAACCUUACCUGGGUUUGACAUGCACAGGACGCCGGCAGAGAUGUCGGUUCCCUUGUGGCCUGUGUGCAGGUGGUGCAUGGCUGUCGUCAGCUCGUGUCGUGAGAUGUUGGGUUAAGUCCCGCAACGAGCGCAACCCUUGUCUCAUGUUGCCAGCGGGUAAUGCCGGGGACUCGUGAGAGACUGCCGGGGUCAACUCGGAGGAAGGUGGGGAUGACGUCAAGUCAUCAUGCCCCUUAGGUCCAGGGCUUCACACAUGCUACAAUGGCCGGUACAAAGGGCUGCGAUGCCGCGAGGUUAAGCGAAUCCUUUUAAAGCCGGUCUCAGUUCGGAUCGGGGUCUG
This 704-nucleotide ribosomal RNA is filed under the name uncultured bacterium. RNAcentral describes it as "bacterial SSU rRNA". It matches the Rfam family "Bacterial small subunit ribosomal RNA", at positions 606 to 1307 of the family's 1533-position model. The record is from RNAcentral.